Molecule: long non-coding RNA, 3839 nt
Organism: Oncorhynchus tshawytscha (Chinook salmon)
Lineage: Eukaryota; Metazoa; Chordata; Actinopteri; Salmoniformes; Salmonidae
Source: Ensembl
GCAUUUUUAAAAAAAUAAUUUUUAAAAGUACAUUUAAGUGACCCCAAACUUUUGAACGGUAAUAUAUAUAUAUAUAUAAUCCCAUUUAUAUAUAUUUACUGACGCGUCAGAAAUAAAUGUUUCUGAAACAGGAAAAAAAAGGCAAUGUCUAAUACAGCAAACUUUUAUUAAAUGAAAAUUCAAACAUCUAAGUGGAAUAACAUUAUCUGGAAUAACAUUAUCUGGAAUAACAUUAUCUGGAAUAACAUUAUCUGGAAUAACAUUAUCUGGAAUAACAUUAUCUGGAAUAACAUUAUCUGGAAUAACAUUAACUACCUGUGCAGGAUUAACAUCUUUCAGAGGAGAUAGUUUGUAUCCCAAAUGACACCCUAAUCCCUAUAUAGUGCACUACUUUUGACCAGGGCCCUAUGGGGGGGUAGUGCACUACUUUUGACCAGGGCCCUAUGGGGGGGGUAUGCACUACUUUUGACCAGGGCCCUAUGGGGGGGUAGUGCACUACUUUUGACCAGGGCCCUAUGGGGGGGUAGUGCACUACUUUUGACCAGGGCCCUAUGGGGGGGUAGUGCACUAUAUAUGGGAUACAGCCUGAGUCCAGAAAGCAACAAUAACAUGGAGAAAGACACAUUUUUUUUUCUUUUUUAAAAGACGAGUCCAACGACAGCUAUAUAAUCCCACAAACCAGACGAUUAAAAUACCAAAUCAGAAAAAAACAAAAAUAUAAACAAUCCCCCCCAAAAAAAAAGCCAUAUCAGCCAAUCAAAUCUCACAAAUCUGUAUAAGGGGGGUUCCUCAUCCCACUAGAGUAGCCUGCCUCUCUGCCAUUGGAUUGCUGUUGAUUGUAGUGGUAGCUCCUCCCCCGACCCCUCACAUUUUGUCCUUUAGAGGUGGCAUCGCCCCCUCUUCCUUCCUGCUUCCUGUCCCCUCGGUCUUGUUCCCGGAAACCUUCCCUGUUAUCUCUCCUCCCCACUCCUCGGUAACCUCCUACCCCCCGUCUCUCACCCCUCCAACGGUUCUCUCUAUACCCUCUGGCUCCUCCUCCCUCCUCGUGUCCUCCCCUCCCUCCUCCACCUCUGAAGGAGCGACUGUAGAACUUCUUUCCGUUUCUGAGGGUGUGGUCAUUAGGGUCUAGCCACUCCCCUCCCUCCCAGUCUCGGUCCAAUGAUGUUACGCCGCUUGGGGCCUGGGGCACUAAAUAUGAAGUCUCGCCCCAGCUCCCCCCCGUCGUGUCAUUGGUCGUUUUCACGUUAAACUCCGCCCCGCUCUGGGUCAUGGGGGCGUCGCCCGCACCCUGCAUCGCCAUGCCGACGGAUACAUCCUUGAACAUGGUCUGGGCACUUACUGUUGUUAUCAGGUGACCCUCGGGGACCCAUGUGACCUGAGAGAGGUAAGAGAGAUAGAGGGAUUAGUAACAGUACAAAAUCAGAAACACUACACACAGAUGAAAUCAACAACAACAAAAUCCCAUGACUAAAAUUUAAGUCGAUCAAAAUACACAUUUGGGUCGAGUGUCACUGACAUCCACCUUCAGGGGUUAGAAGAUUGGUCGAAUCAUUUCAAAAGUUGCAUAAACACACAGGCUAACAAAAUAAAAUCAUGGACGUUUACCAAAAAGUGUAUUUUGAACACAGCAGAGUUUCAGAAUAGGUGAUUAGAGAGACUACCAUAAAUCAUGGAGAACAAGAUCCUGCACCCUCAACAUAGUAAGGGAAACAGCCAACUUGUACCGCCAUUCAUUGGAAAGGAAGUGGAUUCAUGUCUGUUUGAGCAGGAUUCCCUAAAAUGGCCGCCAGACAUUUGGUCACUGCUCUUCCAAAGUGUUCUGGUGAGAAACGCUCAGAAAAUGUACCGUCGCUUUCCCUCUCGACCAGAGUCCAGAUUAUGACACUGUUAAAAGAUGUUAUCCUUCAGGCUUUACGAGUUGGUCCCACAGACAAACGGUUACGUAAAUUACGAAAGACCGAUCACAACGCCAUGUUGAGUUGGAAAGGGAACAAAAGCAUGUCUUUUGGGUCGGUGGGGUGGUUCUCAAGGACCUCGACUUAAAAAGACGCAUAUACUUCAAGCAAUUCAAGAAUUGCUUUCACGAAAGGUUUGCUUCCUAGUUUUAUGAGCACAAGGAUCUCACUCUUUGAGAAAGCUGCAGUUCUUGCAGAUGAGUUUUGUCACAACGCCAUGUUGAGUUGAAAAGGGAACAAAAGUAUGUAUUUUGGGUCGGUUCUCUGAGUUUUGUCUUUCAAAACAAAAAACACCCAUUAGUUAUCCCUACGUUUACAAAAAAUUAAACCCAGAGAAGUCAACGCCUACUGGAAGAUUUCAGUCCUUUACUGCCCAAAGAUAAAGAUGAACAGAAAACGUUUUUUUUUUCUUUUCAUAUCUGCCCAUUUGUCAUUACUUCAGUGAGAAAGGACAUUGUAUCUCUAAGUUGAAAGAGAAUUUGAGAGGAAAAAAAUUAAUAAAUUGUUCUCCAACCCAUUAAGUCUCUGGUUUAUCUCCUAAACAAGAUUUUGAAUCAGAUGGGUAUGAACCUUUUCAUUUCAGACGGGUUCGUGUCUCUGCAGAGAGUGGCGAUGACAUUAAGCAAGCCAGAGAAGAUACUGCGAGACAUUGAGGCCCCGGUCCUUCAUUUUGAGGGGUGUUUUGCCUUUGUCUGACACUACAGCAACUGGUUACAGUGUAUUAGUACAAAGUCAUGGAGGUGGGUUGCAUGGAGGUUCCUUUGUAUAAUGUGGAACUCGAGUCCAAUCUUAUUUCUGGUUCCGUUUGCGCCAAGCACGUUUGCAGCCUAUUCUCCUGCUUUUGACGAGGUUCUCGUGGAUUGCGUUGCUCCUUUCACCCAAAGCAAAUAAUCAGUGUCUCUUGACCAUGGUUGUAGGUAGAAGUAAAAAGGAGUGGAAAGCAUGUUUAUAUAAGAAAAGGCAACGCAUUUAAGUUGAUGUUGUGUAACAAAAGUUGUUUUCUGGUGGGGGUGAGCAAACUUGUCCAACAAAAAUAUAGGAUAUAUUUGUUGUCUUAAGGGGGAAGGUGUUCCAGGCUUUGUUUUUUUUUCCCAUUUAUAUUUAGAGGGGAAGGUGUAUAUAUUUAUAUUUAGAGGGGAAGGUGUAUAUAUUUACAUUUAUAUUUAGAGGUUGCACUUGGGACGCACUGAUUGGUGUCACACCUGUGCUGGUUGCCAUCUCGUUAGUGGUCAGGUUUUUCACCUGGCUGGCCCAGGUGACAUUUAGCCCAGGUGACAUUUAGAGGCUGGCCCAGGUGACAUUUAGAAGCUGGCCCAGGUGACAAUUAGAAGCUGGCCCAGGUGACAAUUAGAAGCUGGCCCAGGUGACAUGUAGAGGAUGGCCCAGGUGACAUGUAGAGGAUGGCCCAGGUGACAUUUAGAGGAUGGCCCAGGUGACAUUUAGAGGCUGGCCACUCAUGUUGGGAGUCUUUUAGGGCCCAGUUGUUGUUACUAGUCAUCUUCCAGUGGACCCCCCAUGAGUGUCUUUCAGAACCCCUCCUAAAAUCCCACUUUUGUUUGAGCGACAUUUUUGGUUUUCUAGCUGGGGAACGUAACACUCCAGUAAUGAGCCGAAUAACAUUUUUUAUAAAAUGUUAAAAUGAUUAACACAGUGGACCAUACAGCCCAUCUAUAGUGUAACAUAGUGGACCAUACAGCCCAUCUAUAGUGUAACACAGUGGACCAAACAGCCCAUCUAUAGUGUAACAUAGUGGACCAUACAGCCCAUCUAUAGUGUAACACAGUGGACCAUACAGCCCAUCUAUAGUGUAACACAGUGGACCAUACAGCCCAUCUAUAGUGUAACACAGUGGACCAAACAGCCCAUCUAUAGUGUAUUAUUGUA